ACAUGUACCGUCGCUCUGGG
RNAcentral lists this microRNA (20 nucleotides) under Ciona intestinalis (vase tunicate). Its description in RNAcentral is "cin-miR-4031-3p". The record is from miRBase by way of RNAcentral. Lineage: Eukaryota; Metazoa; Chordata; Ascidiacea; Phlebobranchia; Cionidae.